CUUUCGAGGCCGUUCCUUUGCGCCCUAAAACAAGUAGCCCCAACGUGAGAGAAACAAAAGAAACAUCAUUUGAAGAAAAGAAUUCAAAUUUCCAGCACUACAAUGAAAGGUUUGUGGAACACAGUACUGUUGAGUGGAGAGAACUACAAAAGCAACAGAAAUCAAUGAAAACAGUGCCCAUCAUAUGCACCUGAAUAAAGUGUCCCUUUAUCAGGUUAGAAGAUAGUGUGAUCACAUGAAAACACAAGGCAAGCUACAAGAGACCAGCAACAACAGGAAGCACAGUGGGAAUGCUCAAAACAGAGCAUAAUAGGAACUUCUCACCCAUCCCAACCCUUUGCCCCUCCCUACCCCAUUACACUAGACUUCACAGAGAUCAUUCUCUUAAUGCAC
RNAcentral lists this long non-coding RNA (393 nucleotides) under Homo sapiens (human). RNAcentral's name for it is "HSALNT0004455". Lineage: Eukaryota; Metazoa; Chordata; Mammalia; Primates; Hominidae. The record is from RNAcentral.